GGGUUCCCGGCGCUGUGGGCUCGGUCCUCAGGCCCCUCGCCCUGUGGGAAGGCAGCGGUGGCCUUGGAGUCUCUUAACUAUGAUGUCACCUGCUUGUGUUUUCUUCUCUCCUUGUGGAGCUUUGAGACAAUCCACUACAGCUUCUUUACAUGCACACCAUUUCCAUCUCACACCCGAUACAUAAAGAUAUAUUUUGCUUUUUUUUUUUUUUUAAUACACUUUCCCCAUUUGUCACAGCCCAUAUCAUGCAGGGAGGUUUUAAGAGAAAUCCAAAAGAAACUCCAAAAAGUUAGGCAAGGGAUACCAGUCCAAGCUGAAACACCCAGGAGAGAGGUGAAAGGUUUCCCAGCUGUGCCAGUGAUUUGAUGAUGUAUGGCAAAAUGGUACUUUGACCCCCGUUCUAAGUCUUAUUCUAACAGGACGAGCUGGAGUUUCAGCUACCCAGGCCUGCUGGAAAUUGGGCCCAGCAGUUAUUUGGCAGUGGCCUUGAUGAGCAGUAAUGCCAGCUUUCCAUUGCAAUGCUCACAUUCAGAGAUUUGCAGAAUUAGAGUCCAAAUUCUGCUUGUAUUUGCAAGCCCAGAAUGCCACUGACUUCAAGGGGGUUGUAGGAUUUUAGCCAAGAGCAGAAAUUUGCCCAGGAUUUUUUCAGACUCCCUCAUGCUUCUGUUUAUAUGAUAUUACCAUCAAGCUCUAUUAGCAUGCUCCAUGAUGCAUUUUACUUUUAAAUUACAUAAAGGAUAUUUACUGUGCUGAUGCUACAUAGUUUGCAAGAAAGAUGCACAUGUGGAAAUGAAAAAACAUCAAUUACCAUCAGGAUUUCCAGCUUUCAGCAUUCAUUUUCCAAAACAACCCAGGGACUAUUUCCCAUCAAAAAAAAAAAAAAAGGAGAAGAAAUGAAAAUCCAGUUUCUUGGCAUUUACGUAUGGCAUUUUGGAGCCUUACUCAUCAA
Taeniopygia guttata (zebra finch) is the source of this 949-nucleotide non-coding RNA. NCBI's taxonomy places the organism in Eukaryota, Metazoa, Chordata, Aves, Passeriformes, Estrildidae. The record is from RefSeq and is a predicted model, not a curated record.